CCCUGUUAUUUUAUAAAUAUAAAAAUAUCCUAAGAAAUUAUAAAUCAAAAAAUUUUGACGGUAUUAAUAUUUUUAAAGGAGUUUGUUUUUUAAUAGAUAAUUCGCGAUUAACCUUACUUAAAAUUAAUUUGUAUAUCACCGUUUAGAUUUUGAGUUGAUAAGAUUCAAGAAGAAAAUUCUCUUAAUAUCAGGUCAAAAUGCAAUUUUUUUAAGAUAAAAUGAACUACAUUAAUUUAAUAUUUACGAAUUAUUUUUUGAAAUAUAAAUAUGAAGAUGGAUUUAUUAGUAAAUAUAAAAUAAAUUAUUAUAUUGAAAUUUAUUAUUAAUAUGUACAUAUCGCCCG
This 343-nucleotide ribosomal RNA is filed under the name Oroperipatus corradoi. Its description in RNAcentral is "partial small subunit ribosomal RNA". Lineage: Eukaryota; Metazoa; Onychophora; Udeonychophora; Euonychophora; Peripatidae. The record is from RNAcentral.